Molecule: ribosomal RNA, 468 nt
Filed under: uncultured bacterium
Lineage: Bacteria
Description: partial 16S ribosomal RNA
Rfam family: Bacterial small subunit ribosomal RNA
Source: RNAcentral
GACGAACGCUGGCGGCGUGCUUAACACAUGCAAGUCGAACGGAAAGGCCCUGCUUUUGUUUGGUGCUCGAUUGGCGAACGGGUGAGUAACACGUGAGUAACCUGCCCUUGACUUUGUGAUAACUUCAGGAAACUCGGGCUAAUACCCGAUAUGAUCUCCUGCUGCAUGUGGUUGAUUGGAAAGUUUCGGCGGUUGUGGAUGGACUCGCGGCUUAUCAGCUUGUUGGUGUGGUAGUGGCUUACCAAGGCUUUGACGGGUAGCCGGCAUGAGAGGGUGACCGGCCACCUUGGGACUGAGAUACGGACCAGAAUCCAACGGGAGGCAGUAGUGGGAAAUAUUGCACAAUGGGCGGAAGCCUGAUGCAGAAACGCCGCGUGCGGGAUGACGGCUUUCGGGUUGUAAACAGCUUUCGAAUGUGCCGAAGCGUGCGUGACGGUAAUGGGUAAAGAAGCAACGGCUAACUACGUG